GGGUUGUGAGGUUAAGCGACUAAGCGUACACGGUGGAUGCCCUGGCAGUCAGAGGCGAUGAAGGACGUGCUAAUCUGCGAUAAGCGUCGGUAAGGUGAUAUGAACCGUUAUAACCGGCGAUUUCCGAAUGGGGAAACCCAGUGUGUUUCGACACACUAUCAUUAACUGAAUCCAUAGGUUAAUGAGGCGAACCGGGGGAACUGAAACAUCUAAGUACCCCGAGGAAAAGAAAUCAACCGAGAUUCCCCCAGUAGCGGCGAGCGAACGGGGAGCAGCCCAGAGCCUGAAUCAGUAUGUGUGUUAGUGGAAGCGUCUGGAAAGGCGCGCGAUACAGGGUGACAGCCCCGUACACAAAAAUGCACAUAUUGUGAGCUCGAUGAGUAGGGCGGGACACGUGGUAUCCUGUCUGAAUAUGGGGGGACCAUCCUCCAAGGCUAAAUACUCCUGACUGACCGAUAGUGAACCAGUACCGUGAGGGAAAGGCGAAAAGAACCCCGGCGAGGGGAGUGAAAAAGAACCUGAAACCGUGUACGUACAAGCAGUGGGAGCACGCUUCGGCGUGUGACUGCGUACCUUUUGUAUAAUGGGUCAGCGACUUAUAUUCUGUAGCAAGGUUAACCGAAUAGGGGAGCCGAAGGGAAACCGAGUCUUAACUGGGCGUUAAGUUGCAGGGUAUAGACCCGAAACCCGGUGAUCUAGCCAUGGGCAGGUUGAAGGUUGGGUAACACUAACUGGAGGACCGAACCGACUAAUGUUGAAAAAUUAGCGGAUGACUUGUGGCUGGGGGUGAAAGGCCAAUCAAACCGGGAGAUAGCUGGUUCUCCCCGAAAGCUAUUUAGGUAGCGCCUCGUGAA
This 854-nucleotide ribosomal RNA is filed under the name Escherichia coli. Its description in RNAcentral is "partial 23S ribosomal RNA". It matches the Rfam family "Bacterial large subunit ribosomal RNA", at positions 1 to 888 of the family's 2925-position model. The record is from RNAcentral. Lineage: Bacteria; Pseudomonadati; Pseudomonadota; Gammaproteobacteria; Enterobacterales; Enterobacteriaceae.